UCGCCUACGGGGGGCAGCAGUGGGGAAUAUUGGGCAAUGGGCGCAAGCCUGACCCAGCAACGCCGCGUGAAGGAAGAAGGCUUUCGGGUUGUAAACUUCUUUUCUCAGGGACGAAGCAAGUGGCGGUACCUGAGGAAUAAGCCACGGCUAACUACGUGCCAGCAGCCGCGGUAAUACGUAGGGGGCAAGCGUUAUCCGGAUUUACUGGGUGUAAAGGGCGUGUAGGCGGGGAAGCAAGUCAGAUGUGAAAACCACGGGGUCAACCUGUGGCCUGCAUUUGAAACUGUUUUUCUUGAGUACUGGAG
RNAcentral lists this ribosomal RNA (305 nucleotides) under uncultured bacterium. RNAcentral describes it as "bacterial SSU rRNA". It matches the Rfam family "Bacterial small subunit ribosomal RNA", at positions 335 to 654 of the family's 1533-position model. The record is from RNAcentral.